AUGGCGCGGCGGGCGGGGAGGCGGCCGGCGGCUCCCCCGCGCAAAAGCCGCGCAAAAGANNNNNNNNNNNNNNNNNNNNGCCCCGGUGCCGAGCGCUCCGCAUGGCGCGGCGGGCGGGGAGGCGGCCGGCGGCUCCCCCGCGCAAAAGCCGCGCAAAAGGCGCGCAGAGCCCGCCCCGCGGGGGCGCGCCCGAGCUGGCGGCGGGGCCGGGGCAGGAGGGGCUCGCCGGCACCUCCCGCCAACGGAGCCGCUUCUCCGCGGGGCGAGGGGCUCGCCGGGCAAGGGGGCAGCCCGCUGGGGUCGCGCUUGGCACCGGGGGGGCGGCGGCAGGGCCGCGCCGGGCUCGCUGUGCGGGUGGAGGACGGACGAACGGACGGACGGACGGGUGCUGCCCCGCUGUCACCCCCGGUGGGGUGCUGGAAGCAGGGUGCUGCCCACCGGUGGCAUCCCUUAAUAAACUUGCGGUGCUCUUCCCACCUGGCUCUGUGGGUGUCCCCGAGGAAGCGUGCAAGGCGCGCGCACACACACACACACACACACACACGGCCCCCCCCUCCAGAGGGAUGGCUCCAGGAAAGCCGAAAUCCUGCUCCAUCGCCUCGGCACCGCCGCGGGGUGCAGGGGUUACCACAUCGCAGCCCUCGCACAGCUCAGGGGAGCGCUCCCUGUGCCCGCUCUGCAAGGGAAUUCGCGGGACAGCCGGGUGGGAGCUACUCGGAGCGGGGUCCGUCUCCGAUUUUAAGCGGGGAAUUAAAUCCGGGUGGCGGGGUUAAGGAGCCGGCAGCGUCUUCAGCUCUGCCACGGGCUCGUUCGUGGGCAAACCACUCCCACCCCACGUGCGCUGGCUCCCGGUGGGCGCAGAGCUGCUGCGCUCCAGCUCCUCGGCUGGCCUUACCUGCCCGGGCAGGGCGCCUGGAGGGAGGGCAGCUCCUGCGGGUGGGCUCCGGCACCUCGGGGCGGGACGGGGAGAGGCACCUCGAGCUGCGUGGGACAGGGGCUGUCUCCUCUUCUGAGCAUUAUGCACUGGCACCAAGAGCAGAGGGGGGGGUCUCAUUUCAAGUGAGGUCCUUUGUUGCUAUGGUAAUACAAAUUGAAAACCUAUACUAUAGUAAUUUUAGGAAAAUCUCUCUCUUUUUUUUUUUUUUUUCUAAAUUAAAUUGGACUGUGCUUCAGAAUUGUGUGGGCAUACUGAAAUAG
Molecule: long non-coding RNA, 1197 nt
Filed under: Anser cygnoides (Swan goose)
Lineage: Eukaryota; Metazoa; Chordata; Aves; Anseriformes; Anatidae
Description: lncRNA (ENSACDG00005017016.1)
Source: RNAcentral